CUGCCAGUGCAAGAAGAGACCUCUUGAGAGAGAGCAGCAAGAUCUUGCAAGCAGAUCUUUGGUGCUGUGGAUUGGAGAUGGACCUUGGUGAAAACUGGAAGCUGGAUGAAACAAACUGGUUGUCUCAUGGUGGGAUCCACCCCUUUUCCAGUGUGAAAGGAGACAAUGAUCUCUCCGAAGGUGGUCCAGCCCUCUUUGCUCUGGAUCAGCUGGCUUUGGCUGUGGGAUUUCAGAAGAUAUGAAUCAGAUGGUGACUGUUGUGUUCCUUUUUUUCUGUGAAUCAUUAAAACAGAACAU
Long non-coding RNA from Neopelma chrysocephalum (saffron-crested tyrant-manakin), 297 nucleotides. RefSeq lists it as uncharacterized. The transcript is spliced from 4 exons. Lineage: Eukaryota; Metazoa; Chordata; Aves; Passeriformes; Pipridae. The record is from RefSeq and is a predicted model, not a curated record.